Molecule: ribosomal RNA, 899 nt
Filed under: uncultured archaeon
Lineage: Archaea
Description: bacterial SSU rRNA
Rfam family: Archaeal small subunit ribosomal RNA
Source: RNAcentral
CCGCGGUAAUACCGGCGGCUCGAGUGGUGGCCACUAUUAUUGGGCUUAAAGCGUCCGUAGCUGGACUCUUAAGUCUCUUGGGAAAUCCGCCGGCUUAACCGACGGGCGUCUAAGAGAUACUGAGAGUCUAGGGACCGGGAGAGGUGAGAGGUACUCCGGGGGUAGGAGUGAAAUCCUGUAAUCCCCGGGGGACCACCGAUGGCGAAGGCAUCUCACCAGAACGGCUCCGACAGUGAGGGACGAAAGCUGGGGGAGCGAACCGGAUUAGAUACCCGGGUAGUCCCAGCCGUAAACUAUGCGCGUUAGGUGUACUGGUGACCACGAGUCACUGGGGUGCCGAAGGGAAACCGUGAAACGUGCCGCCUGGGAAGUACGGUCGCAAGGCUGAAACUUAAAGGAAUUGGCGGGGGAGCACCACAACGGGUGGAGCCUGCGGUUUAAUUGGACUCAACGCCGGAAAUCUCACCGGAUAAGACAGCGGAAUGAUAACCGGGCUGAAGACUCUGUUUGACCAGCUGAGAGGAGGUGCAUGGCCGUCGUCAGUUCGUACUGUGAAGCAUCCUGUUAAGUCAGGCAACGAGCGAGACCCACGCCAACAGUUGCUAGCUUGUUCUCCGGAAUGAAGAGGACACUGUUGGGACCGCCUCUGCUAAAGAGGAGGAAGGAAUGGGCAACGGUAGGUCAGCAUGCCCCGAAUUAUCCGGGCUACACGCGGGCUACAAUGGGCAGGACAAUGGGUAUCGACACCGAAAGGUGAAGGCAAUCUCUUAAACCUGUCCUAAGUUCGGAUUGUGGGCUGUAACUCGCCCACAUGAAGCUGGAAUCCGUAGUAAUCGCGUUUCAACAUAGCGCGGUGAAUGCGUCCCUGCUCCUUGCACACACCGCCCGUCAAACCAUCC